RNAcentral lists this long non-coding RNA (293 nucleotides) under Capsicum annuum. RNAcentral's name for it is "long non-coding RNA (CANN_LNC009970)". Lineage: Eukaryota; Viridiplantae; Streptophyta; Magnoliopsida; Solanales; Solanaceae. The record is from RNAcentral.
ACUACUCUCAAAACAGCCACAACUCCACUCCAUCUUCUUUCUCUCUCUUCUCUUCCUCAUCUCUAAAAAUAAGCAAGCCACCAGUCACCACAACCGUCACUAGCCGGUGGGAGUUCUACCAAUAAAAACUCCAAAUCAGUUCACCAUCGUCAACCAAACCUCUACCAACACCGCCUUCAAUGGCCAAAAAAUUCCCUUGGUUUCUUUAUUCUCUCAGUGAUGGGCACCGCCGGCGAGCCCAAGGCAGUGAACCUAUCUCUGGUCACCACCACCAGACAACAACAGCCUCCAAG